CGCCAGACUCCUACGGGAGGCAGCAGUGGGGAAUAUUGCACAAUGGGGGAAACCCUGAUGCAGCAACGCCGCGUGAGUGAAGAAGUAUUUCGGUAUGUAAAGCUCUAUCAGCAGGGAAGAGAAUGACGGUACCUGACUAAGAAGCCCCGGCUAACUACGUGCCAGCAGCCGCGGUAAUACGUAGGGGGCAAGCGUUAUCCGGAUUUACUGGGUGUAAAGGGGGCGCAGACGGCAGCGCAAGCCAGGAGUGAAAGCCCGGGGCCCAACCCCGGGACUGCUCUUGGAACUGCGCGGCUGGAGUGCAGGAGGGGCAGGCGGAAUUCCUGGUGUAGCGGUGAAGUGCGUAGAUAUCAGGAGGAACACCGGUGGCGAAGGCGGCCUGCUGGACUGCGACUGACGUUGAGGCCCGAAAGCGUGGGGAGCAAACAGGAUUAGAUACCCUAGUA
RNAcentral lists this ribosomal RNA (446 nucleotides) under uncultured bacterium. Its description in RNAcentral is "bacterial SSU rRNA". It matches the Rfam family "Bacterial small subunit ribosomal RNA", at positions 329 to 792 of the family's 1533-position model. The record is from RNAcentral.